UUGAUAAUAAAAAGAAGAAAAUACUUUUGAUCAUAUUUUCAAUUUUCUAUCUCACAAUUAAGUUUUUACUGUGAGUGUUUUUUAAAUAGACUUCCAUUUUCAAAUUACUAACGACAUCCCAGGAUAUUGAGAGUUUAAUGGAAAUAUUGAUAAUAGUUCUAAAUUUCAGGAUUUAAGAGUAACUGUAAACAAUAUAUGAAACUACUGUUUUUACCGCACUACAACCUCAAUCACACAAAAUGUCUUUGACAAACAUUUAUUUAACUUAUCUUCUUAUUACUCACAAGUCCUCUCUGCUAACAUGGAGGAGGAGGGUUUAAGACAUGUACUGCAGCCAGCCACCAGGGGGUCGUGUCGUCCAUCUUUAUUAAAGUCUAUGUUUCAAACUGAAUCAGCUUCACACGGAGGUCUCACUUCCUGCAGCUGCUUCCUGGACCAGUUGAGUUGGUUCUGAACAACUGGUUCAUUGAUGGAGGUGUUUGGGUCGGAGCCUCGUUUCUCCGUCGAAGCUCAAACUGAAUCCGUGGCGUUGAGGUUUAAUCCCUGACUCACGCUCCUCUCUUAUUGGUCCUUAGGUAAACCAGCUUUUUGCCGUCGCUCAGGGAGCAGGGCGGCGGCUCCGGGGGUCACAGAGGACGACUCGCUCCAUUACUCCAGUCUGAGGCACCGGCCACGCCCCCCCGGCCAGCCGCCGGCACGAUUGGUGGAGAAGGACGACACCUACUCUGCAGUGAGGGUCGCAAGAACCCUACGGGAUCACAUGACCGCAGAUAGAGGGUGACACUGCCACCCGCUGGUCACACAGUAAAUGACAUGCUCUCGUUUCAUUAAAGAUUCAGUUUGUAGGAUUUAGUGACAUCUGGUGGUGAGGGGGCAUAUUGCACAACCCAACACUCACCACUAGGUGGCCUAAUGUUGUGGAUGUUUUAUUCUUAUAUUUUUGACUUUGUUAUUAGUAUUAAUCAUCUAACAACCAGUUGUUUCCUUGACAGAUUGUUGGGACACACAACACAUCUAAAGUUAUUCUCUCAUUUUAUACAUUUAAAGUACAAAGUGUGAUGUUAAAAGUUUUUGUGUCGUAAUGUGAACCAGAAAUAAACUUCACGUUUUGAGACUG
This is a long non-coding RNA of Platichthys flesus (European flounder), 1117 nucleotides long. RefSeq lists it as uncharacterized. Lineage: Eukaryota; Metazoa; Chordata; Actinopteri; Pleuronectiformes; Pleuronectidae. The record is from RefSeq and is a predicted model, not a curated record. The transcript is spliced from 2 exons.